UACGUAGGGUGCGAGCGUUAAUCGGAAUUACUGGGCGUAAAGCGUGCGCAGGCGGUUUUGAAAGACAGGCGUGAAAUCUCCGGGCUCAACCUGGGAAUUGCGCUUGUGACUGGCGUGCUGGAGUGUGGCAGAGGGAGGUGGAAUUCCACGUGUAGCAGUGAAAUGCGUAGAGAUGUGGAGGAACACCGAUGGCGAAGGCAGCCCCCUGGGCUAACACUGACGCUCAGGCACGAAAGCGUGGGGAGCAAACAGG
RNAcentral lists this ribosomal RNA (253 nucleotides) under uncultured bacterium. RNAcentral's name for it is "partial 16S ribosomal RNA". It matches the Rfam family "Bacterial small subunit ribosomal RNA", at positions 524 to 776 of the family's 1533-position model. The record is from RNAcentral.